This 482-nucleotide ribosomal RNA is filed under the name uncultured bacterium. RNAcentral describes it as "partial 16S ribosomal RNA". It matches the Rfam family "Bacterial small subunit ribosomal RNA", at positions 30 to 507 of the family's 1533-position model. The record is from RNAcentral.
AUUGAACGCUGGCGGCAUGCCUUACACAUGCAAGUCGAACGGUAACAGGUCUUCGGAUGCUGACGAGUGGCGAACGGGUGAGUAAUACAUCGGAGCGUGCCCGAUCGUGGGGGAUAACGAGGCGAAAGCUUUGCUAAUACCGCAUACGAUCUACGGAUGAAAGCGGGGGAUCUUCGGACCUCGCGCGGACGGAGCGGCCGAUGGCAGAUUAGGUAGUUGGUGGGAUAAAAGCUUACCAAGCCGACGAUCUGUAGCUGGUCUGAGAGGAUGAUCAGCCACACUGGGACUGAGACACGGCCCAGACUCCUACGGGAGGCAGCAGUGGGGAAUUUUGGACAAAGGGCGAAAGCCUGAUCCAGCCAUGCCGCGUGCAGGAUGAAGGCCUUCGGGUUGUAAACUGCUUUUGUACGGAACGAAAAGCCUCUUUCUAAUAAAGAGGGGUCAUGACGGUACCGUAAGAAUAAGCACCGGCUAACUACGUG